Molecule: ribosomal RNA, 232 nt
Filed under: Corynebacterium minutissimum
Lineage: Bacteria; Bacillati; Actinomycetota; Actinomycetes; Mycobacteriales; Corynebacteriaceae
Description: partial 16S ribosomal RNA
Rfam family: Bacterial small subunit ribosomal RNA
Source: RNAcentral
ACUCGACCCCAUGAAGUCGGAGUCGCUAGUAAUCGCAGAUCAGCAACGCUGCGGUGAAUACGUUCCCGGGCCUUGUACACACCGCCCGUCACGUCAUGAAAGUUGGUAACACCCGAAGCCAGUGGCCUAAACUUGUUAGGGAGCUGUCGAAGGUGGGAUCGGCGAUUGGGACGAAGUCGUAACAAGGUACCCGUACCGGAAGGUGCGGGUGGAUCACCUCCUUUCUAAGGAG